UACGUAGGCAGCAAGCGUUUGUUCGGAAUUACUGGGCGUAAAGAGCGCGCAGGCGGUCGUUCAAGUCGAGUGUGAAAGCCCCCGGCUCAACUGGGGAGGGUCAUUCGAUACUGAUCGACUCGAAGGCAGGAGAGGGAAGUGGAAUUCCCGGUGUAGUGGUGAAAUGCGUAGAUAUCGGGAGGAACACCAGUGGCGAAGGCGACUUCCUGGCUCGAUACUGACGCUGAGGUGCGAAAGCGUGGGGAGCAAACAGG
Molecule: ribosomal RNA, 254 nt
Filed under: uncultured bacterium
Lineage: Bacteria
Description: partial 16S ribosomal RNA
Rfam family: Bacterial small subunit ribosomal RNA
Source: RNAcentral